RNAcentral lists this long non-coding RNA (1914 nucleotides) under Ananas comosus (pineapple). RNAcentral describes it as "long non-coding RNA (ACOM_LNC021113)". The record is from RNAcentral. Lineage: Eukaryota; Viridiplantae; Streptophyta; Magnoliopsida; Poales; Bromeliaceae.
CCUAAUCAGAUGCGAAUGGCGUCAGCAUAAAAUAGAUAGCCUGAACUUUCAGGACUUCGAUUUUACUACCACGGAGGAGUCGAGGAAGUUGGUGAGCGAGGAGUCGAGGACGAGUGGAGUUUAGGGUUUCUGUGCGACUGUGCGUCCGGGGGAGAGGGGGUUCGAAGUUCGAAGUUCGGGCCACCGAACGAAAUGAACAGAGAGGGAGCGCUUGAGAGAGAGAGAGAGAGAGAGAGAGAGAGAGAGAGAGAGANCGAGGAAGUUGGUGAGCGAGGAGUCGAGGACGAGUGGAGUUUAGGGUUUCUGUGCGACUGUGCGUCCGGGGGAGGGGGGGUUCGAAGUUCGAAGUUCGGGCCACCGAACGAAAUGAACAGAGAGGGAGCGCUUGAGAGAGAGAGAGAGAGGAAGCCCUAGAUAUCGCCACCACGGCACCACGUCCUCUUUGUCCUCGUCGUCCUCCUCGCGAGAGAGCGGGCGCCGGCGUAGAAAGUGGGCUGAGCGUGGUGAGAGAAAGCGGAUCGGCUGAGAGAGGGGAGAGAUGAGGGGAGGCCGGGAGAGAGAGAGAGAGAAACAGAGAUGACCGGGGCUUUUUUCUAGUUUCGUCGGGCGGUCUCGGCGGAUCCGCCGCCUUUUUUCAUUUUCUUUUUUUUUUUUUUACAUUUAGCUCUCUCAAAAAUAAAAAUAAUAAUAAUAAAUAGUCCUACGAAAUUUAUAUUUACAGGAUUGGUCCUAUUCCCGCCACGUAAGCACCACGCGACCGUAGAUGGCUUCGUAAGUUAAGUUUGAACAUGGCGAACCAUUCACCUUAUUUGGAUACGAUAAAAUGAUUCAUUGUGUUUCAUUAUUUUCCUAUUAUGGUAUUACAUAAUUUUUGGAGUUUAGAAUUUAGAAAGGACACGAUGAAUCAUUCAACAUAUCCAAACCAUAGUUAGUUAAUUCGGAUUCGGCAAAAAUUCGGUACAAUUCGGAUAGAAUUCGUCUAUUAAUUUUUAAAUUCGUUGAAAUAUACGGUUAAAAAACGGAUUCGUCAAUUAUUCAGAUACGUGAUUUAUACGGAUAUUAUACGUUCACUAAUUAAAAAUUCGGGAUCAAAAAUUCGGCUAUUAAAUUAUUUUUUUUUUCUCAAGUUUUAUGCAAUUAGUAUAAAUACUCAUAAUUCUUAAGAAUAUAAGAAUAAAAAGCUACAAAAUUAAGUUAAUUAAGUAAAAAAUUAGCAAACUGUAUUAUGUUCCAAAAUAAAUAUAUAAUUAAGCAAAUAGCAAACUCAAAUCUGUAUCUCCAUAUUGCUAUUUCUCCAAAUUUAUCGGAAAUUCCCAGUAUUGCCAAUUAACACCCAUGUACCUUUGUUAAGUUUGCUAGAUCUCCCUUGGUUUUUAAUCAAUGCAUAUGCUUGUGACUUUCAAACCUGCUGAGCAUAUCAAACCUUUUGAGGACUUAAUUCUUAAAACCUUAUUUGCUGAUUAUUCUUGUAUGCUGGGCAUAUUCAUGUAUACUGUAGAGAUUAAAGAUAAAAAGGAAGUAAUGAAUCUUAACAAAUGCAUGUUUACAAUGAUGCUACAUGUUGUAGUCAUGGUCUUGUUACUGAUCAAAACCAUACAGUUAGUAAUUAAGAGAAGAUGAAAUAAAGGAAAGAAAGAGAGAGAGAAACUAAAGCAUAAAAAUUCUUGUAAAGAACAACCCAAUUACUGAUCCAUUGUUUGGAGAGCGGAGGCGGAAGCGGAAGAGGAAGAGGCGACGAGGAGGGUUCUGAUUUCUGAAGAAUGAAGAACCCGAUCUUCGAUGUGGCCACGCGGGGGCUUCCGAUGGCUCGAAGGGAAGAGGAGGAAGGGAAGGGAAGAGGAGGAAGGGAAGGGAUGGGGCUGGGGUCGGCAGCAGGGCGGCAGGGGUGAAGUGUUAGGGCAAAGGGCAAAACCC